UGGGAUAACCUGUAAAGCUCAGGAGGGAUAGCGCCAUCUCAAAUAAAAACCUAUAUAUGGCGCUAUCUAUCCUGAGUUUCAUGGGUUCUUCCU
Molecule: non-coding RNA, 93 nt
Organism: Gossypium raimondii (Peruvian cotton)
Lineage: Eukaryota; Viridiplantae; Streptophyta; Magnoliopsida; Malvales; Malvaceae
Source: Rfam